AAAUAGAAAAACAAAUUCACAGAACCCAGCUUGAGAACCCUGACCCUACAGACUAUUUAGUCCAGCCAAUUCAUUUUGCAUAUGAAGAAACCGAGGCCCACAGAGAUGAAGUGAUUUGCCCAAGGUCAAGAGGUAGUAUAGGACAGAGGCAAAAUUUGAAUCCAGGUCCUCUACUCAAAAAUCACCUCUAAGGAGACGAGGGCCUAGCCAGACACCAUGCCUAGCAUCUCUCUCAUUGUAAGCAUUUGAUUUGCAUUAAUUUAUUUCAUUUUUGAAAUGGAGGCUUUUUUGAAAAGCUGUCUUGUCCUAUUUUUGGCUGUUCCCUGUAGUGUUGUGCUUUGGGUGGGAAUCAUGAAAAACUCAAUUGGUUCAACCACAAGCAGCUUCCUUUGCAAUCUUGAAAAGUUCCCCAAUGAUAUAAGUGGUUGAAUAUUCUUUGGUGUUAUUUCUAGAAAAAUGCUAAUGAAGAGUGUCUACCUUAGUGUUCCUGGAAAGCCCGAUCCUUGCUAACAAGAAGCUCUAGCGUAGCAGAAAGAACACUAGAUUUGGAGUACAAGGACCUGGAUUUGCAUCCCAGCUGUUCUUCUUGCUACUUGCAUGUAACCUCCUCGUGAGAGACUUCCACAUCACAUGAAGGGCCUGGGCACACUACAGGGAAUCUAGUUUUUCUGGUCCAUUGCCCCCACUCAGAAAGUAUGAGAACUUUAUGAUCUGGCACCAUCCAGUUCAUAUUGUCAUCAAUUCCCCUUGUGAGCACAUAGUUCACAAAACUCAGAGAAUGAAAAUGAGCAUAGGCCCCAGAAGAGUUCAUGGCAAACAAAAUCUAUCAACAACUUGUUCACAGGGGUCUGUACAGCUUCCAACAUCUACCAUCAUGCCAGGAGGGGGAAUUUGCUUUUGAGCUUAUGGGCAUUGAUUGGUGCUGGCUCUCCCACCAGGAUGAUUGUUAGCGGAGAUUUCUACAGCACUUCAGGUCUAUAGGGCACCUUACACACAGAACCUCAUCUGGCCCAUACUACAACCCUGAAAUGGGUGCCAUAAUAUGAAGGUAAGUAUGCCUCAUAAAGUUAGUCUCUCUAAAUUCUAUAAGACUUGAGAAACUUCUGACCUAAACCAAAUUUGUACAUUCUUUGAAUAUUGGAUUUAUAAUACCUUUUAAAAGAAAUUAUUUUAGGUAUCAACAGCAGUUCUUUUGCAUUAUAUCUAAAAAUGCUUAUGUACAGCUAGAUCUCCAGGCAGAUUUGUGUGGGACUUCAUUAGACUAAUGGAUCUUCUCAAUGAAGGUGCUCCUGGUGAUUCUGUAUAUCACUGCCUUUCCAUCCUGUGUAACUCUUUUCCACGUCUAUAAACCCUUCACAGGAGGUGGAGCAAACAUGCUGGGGGACUU
RNAcentral lists this long non-coding RNA (1387 nucleotides) under Phascolarctos cinereus (koala). Its description in RNAcentral is "lncRNA (ENSPCIG00000016807.2)". Lineage: Eukaryota; Metazoa; Chordata; Mammalia; Diprotodontia; Phascolarctidae. The record is from RNAcentral.